CAUUCUACAAGGAAAGAGACACUUAAUCCAUUAUAUAAUCAUUAACCAGUUUAUCCCAGAUACCAGACUUCGAAGAGUGAUAACUCAGUUCUAGAAUGUUGUCAUUGAUGAGAAUGAAUGUAAAAUAAUCUAUUGACAUUCAGAAUGGACUUUGUUUAGACAUCCAGUCUGUAUUCUAGUUUCAUGACCAGAGACAAAUCUUCAGAGGCACAGUAUUUAUUUACUCACAGUGGUAAAUGCAUUCACAGUGGUACAUGCAUUCACACUGUCUUGAUUUAUAGGAUCCUUUAUAGGAUCCUUCCCACUAAAUGAUUGAUAUGUCAAGUGAUAAAAUCCCUGCACUUGUCCUCAUGUGAAAAUUACAGUUUAUUCAAUAUUCUACAGUCGGAAGUCAGAGAUUUCCAAGUUCCCAGUUGUCGUGAACGCGGCAGUAGCCUAGUCGCAAGUGGGAAGAUUUUUAUAACCAUAAUGCAACACACUUUGAAAACUUGACAAAAGUGAUCCGCUCGAACGCGCCCAAUGAUUUAUGCUACAUAAAUUUAUGAACAAUUGCUGAUAUUUUCUUACCUCUGGCACGGUCAACAGGUUUGUCAACAUUGUGAGAAAGCAUUUCUGUCACCGUGUGAGCAGCGUUGACCCUCUCAUACUGAAACUUGUGCUCUAUGCUGUUUGAUAAAGCCUGCCUAUGGUCGUAUAAAAUAAUGACAAUGAAGAAAAUAAGUGUUGGAGCGCCACCUGGAGAAAUACUCCUUCAUCGUCCUGCUUUUGGGUUUUCACUAGUUACCACAGCCACGAAGUCAAAAGUGUUUAUCGUAAAAAUCAAUUAAUACAAAAAAUAGUUUUCUGGUCUUAAUGUAAGGGUAGGCAUAAGGUUAGCAGUGUGGUUAGGGUUAAGGCCAGGGUUAUGUUUAAAGUCUGAUUUUAAGAUACAUUGUAGAAGUUGGCGGGGGUUAGCCAAUUAUGCCUUUGUGGUUGUGGUAACUAGUGACGACCACCAACAUGUGUGGAAAUAACAACAACACGGCGAGCUGGGGGCUCACCAACGAUGGUUGUAAUCUUUUCAGACAAACACCAGUGUUAUCAACGCUAAACUGCAAAAGAGUCAAAAUACAAAACAUACGAUCUAAAGAGGAUAACUCAGGACUCAGAGAUUUUGUAGCCAGCUUCAUCAGGCGUCUGGACAAGGAACGGUGCUGUUCUACCAGCUAGGCCUGCUGUAUGGCGGCGUGGUAGAACAUGACUAACACCCAGCGCUCUCUGGGUAAUUAACCUGGUUUUCCUGCUCAUGCUGGCUCCCUUCAUGAAGAACCCUUUGAAGGCUGUGCUGAAGGGGGUCACCAACGAUCCCAUGGACUUCUCGUUCCCCAGGCUUUGGGCUGACCCUGGUGGCAGAGACCUGUUCCUCAGUGCAGAGCAGCUGUCCACCCCCCUGGGGCAGGGAGACCCCGUGCUGCCAGAGGACCUGAGAUGGAACUGUGCCAAACUGCUGCUGGAGGAGAUCUACAAGGUGGGUGACACACAUCAUCAAUCCGACUCCACGUCACAUGACGGGGUAAACUUCCUGUCAAUAACCAGGUUUCCAUCCAGCCAUUUAAUGGGUAAGAAUUACUAGACGCAUAACCAAAAUCACUACAGGGCUUAUGGAAACAGGAAAUGUCAGUACAAUUUCAUAAAUGUCAAUAGACAAUUUGUUCGUUCGACAUGGUGGGAGCUUUUUGUCUGUCAAAUUAAUUAUGCGGAAGAUGACGGUGGAAGCACGUUUAUGCGCAAAUAUUGAUAUUGUAGUUAACUUGGAGUGAUGUGACGAUAUGGGCCAACCACCACGACGUGGUGAAAUAAGUUAUGAUGAACUUCACAUGGGGGUUAAGUGCACUAUCAUCAUUCAGAUUUCCAAUAGGAUAAAUAUCGAGGGUAGGCUAUUAUUUGAAUGCUGUUGGCAUUUAUAAUUGGUGAUUGGCUGCCAAUUAUCAACUAAAAUGAUCUUGUCCAUAUCUCAUAUAACCCCCUUUCUUGUCUAGAGAGCAUGCACCAAAACCACAUUGUGUAAGCUAUUUAUCGCCAAGGUUUUUUGUGACAAAACAUUGGAGUUGAAAUUGCGAUGGAAGCCUAUUUAACUUAUCGUUGCUUUUGGAUGAAAACCUGGUCUCCAAAACAUUUAACUCUUCAAGAAAUGGAAAAGGCUGCCAUAAUCUACCAUUAAUAACGAACAUACCAUUUCGAAACUUAAGAAGCCAUUUUGAAUAACUGUUCUUGGUCCUAGAGUCAUGAAAUGUUCAGAGUACAUUGAGGGGGUUACUGCUUUCAAAACACAUAAAAAAUAUAAAUUGUUAAACAUUAAAUUAUGAGGUUUUCAUCAGUGACGUUUGUGUUUUUAUUCGAUACAUGGGAACUUAACAACAAAAUAUUUUUUGUGUGCACUACGUCAUUACUCACAGCCUUUUAUCCACAACAAGUCAGUUUGAUGGAAACACCUCUGGUGGGAAAAUGUGCAUAUUGUUUUUAUGUAGAUUUUAGAAUAUUUGCUUGAAAAUCUAGUUUUAAGAAUAGCAACAAAACUGGCUUCCUUUGUAGCUCUUUUAAGUCAUGUUUAAGCUCUUAUUGUUGGUGAAAGGACUAUUUAUUUAGCCAUGACGUCCCAUAGAGGUCAGAAGAGCUCUUUUCCAAGGCCCGUAUCCACAAAGCAUCUCAGAGUAGGAGCGCUGAUCUAGGAUCUGUCCAUCUAAUCUUAUUCAUUAUGAUCUAAAAGGCUAAACAGAUACUAGAUCAGCACUCUUACUCAAAGAUGCUUUGUGGAUAUAGGCCCUGGACUAGGUAUAACUCUCAUUACAGCUGUUGUGUACAGUUAGUACAGUACACUGCAUGGCAGGCACAGAGUGGCUUUACUUGGACUCCUUAAUUCACACGUUUUAAAUCACCAUCUGUUUAUGUAUAAAACAAAACGUUUGCCAUUCUUAGUGUGUGCUAUGUACCAUCAGUGGUGCACAGAGGGAAACAGACAGACAGCCGUCCCUCAGAUAAAGAUUAGACUUGGCUCAUCAUUACAGGGGAAUGUAGGUAAACAGGCUGGAUGCAGUGUUUUACAUGUUGUGAUUGAGUCAAGACCUCAACUGUGUUACAGACCCUUAUGUGCUGCGGACAUCUGGGCCGGUAUUUACGAAGCGUGUCAAAGUAGGAGUGCUGAUCUAGAAUCAGUCCCUCCCAUGUCCAUAUAAUCUAAUUCAUUAUGACUCACAAGGCAAAACUCAUCCUAAAUCAACACCUCUACUCUGAGAUGGUUUGAUAACACAGGCCCUGGUCUGUAUGUUAUAACCAGUGCCUGCAUGGGUUUAUCUAACACGAGUUGGUGACAGACAAUGAAGCCUUGUGGUGUGAGAAAUGUUAAGACUAUGUUAGGAUGUCAGUCUAGACUAUAGUGAUUACCAAUCUAGGGACACAUUACACUGCAUGUUCUAUGUAAUGUGCUUAAUGGAGUGUUUUUAAAUGGAGUGUGCAUUAACGUUUAUACGAGAGUGCAAAAGCAUUCAGACCCCUUGGAUUUCUUCACAUUUGUUUGUGUUACAAAGUUGGAUUAAAAUGGUUUAAUUGUCUUUUUUUGUCAACAAUAUGCACACACACACUCAUAUUGGAAGAUAAAUUAUAUAUAUUUUUAAAGAUAAAUAUGAAUAACUAAGUAUCCCACCCCUUUUUUGUUUAGGCAAGCGUAAAUUAGUUCAGAAGUAAAAUGGGCAAAUAUUGCACAAUCCUCGUGUGCAAAGCUCUCAUAGACUCAAUGCCCAAAGUGUUUCUAACAGGUAUUGACUCAGGGAGCUGAAUACGACUAUAUUUUAGUUAAUAUCCUUUUUUUAAUUAAUCUUUUAAAAAGUGUUAGAAUUUUUCAUCCACUUUGACAUUACAGAUGAUUUUGUGUAGAUUGUUGACAAAAAAUGACAAAUCAAUUUGAAUCCCACUUUGUAACACAAUAAAAUGUGAAGAAAUCCAAGGGGUCUGAAUACUUUCGCAAGACACUGUAGUUUUGUGAUUUAACGUGUGAAGAAAUGUGUUCGACGUCUUUAAUCACCAGUGGAAUGCAAUAAGUGCUAAUGUUGGUUAGCUAAGUGGUUGGUUUAAAAAGGCCAUGAAUUUAGAUUAUUGUUGCGCCGACCAAUAAUUUGCUUUGAUUGAAGCUCAAUAUUAAAUUAAAGUCUCCCUACCAUAAUAUCUAAGCCAAUAUGACACCAAUGUCGAUGAAAAUGUGCAAAUCACCUUGAUCGGAGAUAGACAAUGCACUCCCUGCCUCUUACAGAGAACCACAUACUUGAUUUUUAACAGGAUCGUUAGCAUUAGGGGGAAAAAUUAAUUUUUUAGCCCCGACCUAGCUCAACAUCUAGGCGUCAUAUAAGAACGAGACUACAGCAUCCAUAAAGUGACCAUUAGACUUGCCACCUUUCGGACUGAAUAAGUUUGUAGGGGCAAUAGUUUUGAUUAAAUGUAUAAUUUAUCGCUCUCACAUGCUAAUUUCUGUCCAUUAAGAACCAAUGAUGUGCUACCUUUUUGUAGCAUUUCUGACAAUGCUAACAUAUUUUUUUUAGCCAAAGCUCAGAGUUCUAACACUGUGUCGAUCAACUCCGUUGCUCUGCAACAAGGCUUGCACAAGGCUGCCAAUCAGAAGUGUAUGGAACAAACCUAGGCUACUGUAGAUAGCUAGCUAUAUAGUGGUAUUCAAGCUGAUGUUAAUCAAUAAAUGCAAACAGAUAUUUUGAUUAGCUAGCUAACUAACGUUAGCUUGCUUGUCCAAAGUCCAACAGCUAGCCUAUGUAGCUAGGUAACAUCAGUCAGCUAAAAGCUAGCUAGCUACUGAACAGGCAAAGAAACGUAGCUAGCUAUAUUUGGUUCUGAAAAGUUUUUACACAGAUUACUUCAGCCAUUAGCUAGCUAGCUAGAUAGAGCCAGAACACAACAGCUGACCUUGUCACAGAAGCUAGCCAAUGUUAGCUAGCUCACGUCCAAAUGCCAGUCCUACAUUCCACAAAACAUAGCUAGCUAGCUAACGUACAUCAGUUCAAAACCAACACCAACUUUGGGCAAAUUGCCACGCUGCUACCUUACAUGGGCGUGUAUUCAUGGAUGCCAAGGGAAAACAUUUAUUAUUUUAUCUUUCAUCUCUGUGUUUCAUAAAUGUCCUUCAAUUUACAAGAGGCUAAAUAUAUCUCACUGGAGAAAGCAUCCGAGCGAACGAAACAGUACCCGUAGCUUGAAUGCAAGGGAAGCCAGUAAGCAAUUGUCUUCCCUUGAUAAAAAAAUUCUAAAAUAAUAGCUAAACUGAGUGAGCUCAGAUGUGAAUGGUCCUUGCGCACCAAAAAAAAAGUCUCAAGGGAAGCCAGUUUGGAUUUGGCUUCACACCAAUCGCAUGAGAAGCCAAACGUCAUUGACAGAAAAAAUUGAAUUGUUGCAUCUCGUCGUGUCAUUGUUCUCCGGUGGCUAGCUAGCGAUUUCCUAAAUUAGCAAUGGAUGGAGAUGGGGUUGUACUUAAUUCUCUGUACUGGCCACUGAUUAUAACGGUGAUUCUGAUCCAACCAUAUAAAUGUAUAGGAUGCAUAACUCUGCAACACUUUAGGCUAGAAACAAGCUGUAAAAGGCACAAAAAAGACGUGGCUCUAGUGUACAUAGGGUGUCUUUGUUUAGUCUCUAUGGCUGAGUUAAUAAUAAAGUCAUUGACUUUGAGGUCGUAUAACUCAGCUAUUACGACCUCAGUCAAUGACUUUAUUAUUAUUUUAUUUUUUUACCUUCAAUGGUAAUUGAGUCAUAUUUUACAAUGUAAGGCUGUCGCAAUCAAUUGAGCUAUUCACCUGAAAACUGCAGACAAUUACUUUUGACUUACCGUGGUAAAUUAUACACAUACUUUAAUAGUUAGUUCAAAACUGAUUUGAGCUAUUAGAGAGCAACAGCCAGCAGACCAGGGUUUAAACCAGCAACCCUUGCAGUUAUGCAAGCACAUCACCUGUGCCAUUAAGGCACAGACCUUUUGUCAGAGGCCGAAUUAAAGGUUCCAAUGCCACUUAGCCAAUUAGACUUUUUCUUUCCCCCCAAAAAAUCAAGCUUUGCAUGUGGAAAUGUUUAAUAAUGUACCUUUUUUAAAGAGCGACUGCCCCUAAAAACCAACUAAUCCCUUUCAUCGAUCGCCCCAACGAUUCAAAGGUUCAGGGCCGUUUUGAGACUGAAAAUCCCUAUACGGAUUGACCAACUAUGGUUUGCAUGCCCUUCCGAAUGACCCUACCAUGCGGAAUAGGUGGUUGGUGUUCGUUGGUCCCCAGUGCAGUGGUGGUGAGUAUUCCGGUAGCUAGACCAUAGACAUCUGGUUAUGCAUGUUUGAGAAGUUGUAUUCAAAAAUACCUGGCUUGAUAAACUAGUAGGCUAAUUCCCCAGCCAAGAAGAUGCAGCUAAUAGAGUCAUUUUGGUUGUAAAGUGCACUAGCAAAAAGCUUUGCCCUUUCUUCAGCAAACAAAAUGCAAUUGACCACUUGGCUCUCUAUUAUAUGACCCUGUCACAGGCCCUCCCAGCCAACACCACCUCAUCAGAUUUCCUGUUGCAGUUGUUGGAGACAUGUCCAGAUGGCAGCAGAACAUGCAGCAUAGUGAAGACUUUCAUCAGUAUCAUACAGACUUGACUUCACUGUGAGCAUUCCUAUGAAUGGAACAGUCAGCCACAUGUUGGCAAGUAUCCGGUUAGACAAACCUGUCAUCGACAACAGCUUUCACAGGCUCAUCAUUUGUACAAAUACAGAAGUAUCUUUAAUGGGGGGUCAGAAGUUGAUCUACGCUGCUUUUCCCAUCAAUGGGGCUCUGGCUAAGACCUCACCUCCAGCCUCACCACUUGCCUGCUCACCAAUGCUCGUCAAUGACAACAGAAUUAGAAACAUGUAUGGAGCCAACACAUGGAGACAGAUGGGCUUGAUACUGAUGUCUCUGAAUGGAGAGAGACCUGGCACUCGGCAUAAAAAUUUUACUAGACAACUUUUACUUGUAUUGUUUUUUUUUUUAUUAUUUAUUGUAUCAGUCAAUAUGAGGACUGGGAAACCCUGUGUAUUCUGCACCAGGAUCAGGGAACUCCUGUUGUAUACGGGAUUCCACACAGGAAAGUAUGACCACUCACAUGUUACCAUGGUAGCCCCAUUACCACCAGACAGGAAGGUAUCAACACUAACAUGUUACCA
Non-coding RNA from Salmo salar (Atlantic salmon), 7189 nucleotides. Lineage: Eukaryota; Metazoa; Chordata; Actinopteri; Salmoniformes; Salmonidae. The record is from RefSeq and is a predicted model, not a curated record.